CGGGUUUUUUGAGCGUGUCUCGUCGUUUCAAACUAAACGAAAUUUGCAAAAUACACAUGGUUGUGUGUUUUGCGUAAUAAUUUCGACUAAUCAUUGCUCUUUGAGUGUUGCACAAGUGUGGUGUUUUUGUGCUAAGUUCUGUUUGGCACGAAAACCUUAAGUCUAGUUCCGUCUGGCUUAAGUGUGAAACUGUUGUUCCGUCUGCAGUGAAUCCCAUAACUGGCAACAUGUCUGUGAGCAAAGUAGAGUUGUUUG
Molecule: regulatory RNA element, 255 nt
Rfam family: Alphacoronavirus 5'UTR
About the family: The 5' UTR has been predicted to contain 3 conserved stem-loops: SL1, SL2 and SL4.
Source: Rfam